RNAcentral lists this ribosomal RNA (465 nucleotides) under Vreelandella stevensii. Its description in RNAcentral is "partial 16S ribosomal RNA". It matches the Rfam family "Bacterial small subunit ribosomal RNA", at positions 338 to 795 of the family's 1533-position model. The record is from RNAcentral. Lineage: Bacteria; Pseudomonadati; Pseudomonadota; Gammaproteobacteria; Oceanospirillales; Halomonadaceae.
CCUACGGGGGGCUGCAGUGGGGAAUAUUGGACAAUGGGGGCAACCCUGAUCCAGCCAUGCCGCGUGUGUGAAGAAGGCCCUCGGGUUGUAAAGCACUUUCAGUGAGGAAGAACGCCUGGUGGUUAAUACCCAUCAGGAAAGACAUCACUCACAGAAGAAGCACCGGCUAACUCCGUGCCAGCAGCCGCGGUAAUACGGAGGGUGCGAGCGUUAAUCGGAAUUACUGGGCGUAAAGCGCGCGUAGGUGGCUUGAUAAGCCGGUUGUGAAAGCCCCGGGCUCAACCUGGGAACGGCAUACGGAACUGUCAAGCUAGAGUGCAGGAGAGGAAGGUAGAAUUCCCGGUGUAGCGGUGAAAUGCGUAGAGAUCGGGAGGAAUACCAGUGGCGAAGGCGGCCUUCUGGACUGACACUGACACUGAGGUGCGAAAGCGUGGGUAGCAAACAGGAUUAGAUACCCUGGUAGUC